AUGGGGCGUGUCCUCCUCGCAAACAAUUCGCUGGAUGAGGUAGUGGCGUCCAUGAAGCAGUCACUCGGUGCGGUGUUGCACCGCAUGGAGGCGUUUGAGCGUGCACCACUGGGUUCCAUCGAUCCACCACCACUCCACCAGCGGGCGGCUCCCCUUCGCACUGAGGGACAGCGUAUGGAUCAACACCAUACAGGGGUCGACCUGCGUGCGCCUCGGGCUCCCAGAUUCAACAUGAACAUCGGUGAGCAUCUAAAAUCACAGCCUCCGCCGUUUACUGAACUGUCUGAUGACGAGGAUCAGUGUUUAUCGCCUGAGUCCAUUCAGCUUUCCUCCACAACUCGUACUCAUACGCGUCUCCCUCGUUCGGAUUUUCCUAAGUUUGAUGGUGAGAACCCGAGGUGGUGGAAGAAACAGUGUGAGAAAUAUUUUCGUAUGUACACAGUUCAACCAGCCUUGUGGGUCGAUUUUGCGACUAUGCAUUUUCAGGGGAAUGCAGCAUUAUGGUUGCAAACAUAUGAAGCUAUGCAUACUAUUGACAAUUGGUCUGCAUUGUGUGUUGUGGUCUUUGCCAAGUUUAACAAGAACAAGUAUUCUAGGACAAUUGAUCUCUUCUUUGCAUUGCGUCAGGAAGGAAUAGUGGAGGAAUAUGGGCAUCUGUUUGAGGAACUCAUGCACAAAAUCCUUGUCUACAAUCAUGCAUAUGAUGAGAUAUUCUUUGUUAAUCGUUUCAUUGAAGGGCUGAAACCUGCUAUUCGAGCUCCGGUGAAGCCUUAG
This 774-nucleotide ribosomal RNA is filed under the name Triticum aestivum (bread wheat). RNAcentral's name for it is "partial small subunit ribosomal RNA". The record is from RNAcentral. Lineage: Eukaryota; Viridiplantae; Streptophyta; Magnoliopsida; Poales; Poaceae.